AACGAACGCUGGCGGCAGGCCUAAAACAUGCAAGUCGAACGAACCUUCGGGUUAGUGGCGCACGGGUGAGUAACACGUGGGAACGUACCCUUCGGUGAGGAACAACGUCUGGAAACGGACGCUAAUACCGCAUAAUAUCUACGGAUCAAAGAUUUAUCGCCAAAGGAACGGCCCGCGUUAGAUUAGGUAGUUGGUAGGGUAAUGGCCUACCAAGCCUACGAUCUAUAGCUGGUUUGAGAGGAUGAUCAGCCACACUGGGACUGAGACACGGCCCAGACUCCUACGGGAGGCAGCAGUUAGGGAUAUUGGACAAUGGGGGAAACCCUGAUCCAGCCAUGCCGCGUGUGUGAAGAAGGCCUUAGGGUUGUAAAGCACUUUCAUCUGCGAAGAUAAUGACAGUAACAGAAGAAGAAGCUCCGGCUAAAUUCGUGCCAGCCGCCGCCGUAA
RNAcentral lists this ribosomal RNA (447 nucleotides) under uncultured bacterium. RNAcentral's name for it is "partial 16S ribosomal RNA". It matches the Rfam family "Bacterial small subunit ribosomal RNA", at positions 29 to 523 of the family's 1533-position model. The record is from RNAcentral.